GGGGGCGAACAGGUUUCGACGGAGAUAGUGAGGCAGAGGUAGCAUGUCGAGAUUCCACCCACCUCGUAAAAAGGUGGACCAAACUAAGUGCAGAAAAUCUGCCCAUCGCUGCCUAGGCAAUAGGCAUGCCGUUUCUCAGAUUCUUUCCUGCGGAGCUUGGGAAACGCCGACCAGCAGGAUGGCGAUCCGGGUAUGUCCUGGACCUGGUGAGUGAGACUCAAACAGGGCUGGUUCCUUUGCGAUUUGCUUCUUCAGUCGCUGGGGAAUGAGAUGACGAAGAAGAUAAACAUGUAGAGACUAUCUGCUGAUUAUCUUCGGACGCGGGUUCGAUUCCCGCCGCCUCCAUAU
Molecule: transfer-messenger RNA, 348 nt
Filed under: Candidatus Aminicenantota bacterium
Lineage: Bacteria; Candidatus Aminicenantota
Also listed under: 1 other name
Description: Candidatus Aminicenantes bacterium transfer-messenger RNA
Rfam family: transfer-messenger RNA
About the family: Bacterial tmRNA, also known as 10Sa RNA or SsrA, is named for its dual tRNA and mRNA-like properties. Its role is to liberate the mRNA from a stalled ribosome.
Source: RNAcentral